Molecule: ribosomal RNA, 253 nt
Filed under: uncultured bacterium
Lineage: Bacteria
Description: partial 16S ribosomal RNA
Rfam family: Bacterial small subunit ribosomal RNA
Source: RNAcentral
UACGUAGGGUGCGAGCGUUGUCCGGAAUUAUUGGGCGUAAAGGGCUCGUAGGCGGUCUGUCACGUCGGGUGUGAAAACUCAGGGCUUAACCCUGAGCCUGCUUCCGAUACGGGCAGACUAGAGGUAUGCAGGGGAGAACGGAAUUCCUGGUGUAGCGGUGAAAUGCGCAGAUAUCAGGAGGAACACCAGCGGCGAAGGCGGCGCUCUGGGCCGGAACUGACGCUGAGGAGCGAAAGCGUGGGGAGCAAACAGG